RNAcentral lists this transfer-messenger RNA (370 nucleotides) under Flavobacteriales. RNAcentral describes it as "GCA-2683775 sp018652335 Standard tmRNA". It matches the Rfam family "transfer-messenger RNA". From Rfam's summary of the family: Bacterial tmRNA, also known as 10Sa RNA or SsrA, is named for its dual tRNA and mRNA-like properties. Its role is to liberate the mRNA from a stalled ribosome. Lineage: Bacteria; Pseudomonadati; Bacteroidota; Flavobacteriia. RNAcentral also lists the same sequence under 1 other name. The record is from RNAcentral.
GGGGCUGACUGGAUUUGACAGCAAAUGCAUAAAAUAGUAAGCAUGUUGAGCAUUGUAUUUUAGCUCAUAAAUAUUAAAAUUCAACUUUUUUAAACGGCGAAAAUAAUUACGCUUUAGCUGCCUAAUUUAUAUAAUUACGUAAGCUUUUGUCUCUUUUAUAGGACCUCCUGACUCCUAUAGAUCAUGAGGCAUAAUUAAGUUCAGGAUAGUUAGAUUAUUGCUUUUAUAAUCUAGCAAAAUUUUAAAAAGCUAAGAAUUAAUUUUGGUUGCUUUUAACCUACUUAAUUUCGAAAAUUAAAAAAAGAUAAACAUGUAGAAAGUUAUUAUAUCCUUUGUUUGGACGGGGGUUCGAUACCCCCCAGCUCCACCA